GGGAAUCUACCCUGAUCUGCGGAAUAGCUCCGGGAAACUGGAAUUAAUACCGCAUGUGCCCUGAGGGGCAAAGAUUUAUCGGUUCAGGAUGAGCCCGCGUCCGAUUAGCUAGUUGGUGGGGUAAAGGCCUACCAAGGCGACGAUCGGUAGCUGGUCUAAGAGGAUGAUCAGCCACAUUGGGACUGAGACACGGCCCAAACUCCUACGGGAGGCAGCAGUGGGGAAUAUUGGACAAUGGGCGCAAGCCUGAUCCAGCCAUGCCGCGUGAGUGAUGAAGGCCCUAGGGUUGUAAAGCUCUUUCAGUGGGGACGAUAAUGACGGUACCCACAGAAGAAGCCCCGGCUAACUUCGUGCCAGCAGCCGCGGUAAUACGAAGGGGGCCAGCGUUGUUCGGAAUUACUGGGCGUAAAGCGCACGUAGGCGGACAUUUAAGUCAGGGGUGAAAUCCCGGGGCUCAACCCCGGAACUGCCUUUGAUACUGGGUGUCUUGAGUUCGGAAGAGGUGAGUGGAAUUGCGAGU
Molecule: ribosomal RNA, 520 nt
Filed under: uncultured bacterium
Lineage: Bacteria
Description: bacterial SSU rRNA
Rfam family: Bacterial small subunit ribosomal RNA
Source: RNAcentral